GACGAACGCUGGCGGCGUGCCUAAUACAUGCAAGUAGAACGCUGAAGGAGGAGCUUGCUCUUCUGGAUGAGUUGCGAACGGGUGAGUAACGCGUAGGUAACCUGCCUGGUAGCGGGGGAUAACUAUUGGAAACGAUAGCUAAUACCGCAUAAGAGUAGAUGUUGCAUGACAUUUACUUAAAAGGUGCAAUUGCAUCACUACCAGAUGGACCUGCGUUGUAUUAGCUAGUUGGUGGGGUAACGGCUUACCAAGGCGACGAUACAUAGCCGACCUGAGAGGGGGAUCGGCCACACUGGGAAUGGGACACGGCCCAGACUCCUACGGGAGGCAGCAGUAGGGAAUCUUCGGCAAUGGACGGAAGUCUGACCGAGCAACGCCGCGGGAGUGAAGAAGGUUUUCGGAUCGUAAAGCUCUGUUGUAAGAGAAGAACGAGUGUGAGAGUGGAAAGUUCACACUGUGACGGUAUCUUACCAGAAAGGGACGGCUAACUACGUG
This 495-nucleotide ribosomal RNA is filed under the name uncultured bacterium. RNAcentral's name for it is "partial 16S ribosomal RNA". It matches the Rfam family "Bacterial small subunit ribosomal RNA", at positions 28 to 507 of the family's 1533-position model. The record is from RNAcentral.